Molecule: long non-coding RNA, 1712 nt
Organism: Xiphophorus maculatus (southern platyfish)
Lineage: Eukaryota; Metazoa; Chordata; Actinopteri; Cyprinodontiformes; Poeciliidae
Exons: 3
Source: RefSeq, a predicted model, not a curated record
GGCGGGGUUCCCAUGUUGCGCUAUGGAAAAUUGUUAGGGGAUACACUGUGACAAACAUGCGCGCUGAGAUUGAUAAUAACCAGAAUAAGGCCAAAACGGGAACCUGGCGGAGUGAAUAUUCAGCGAGGGCCGGAACUGGGUGGCGCCGGCCAGGAUGAGGCACACAUUUCUUCAGCACAGAUGGAGGAAAGGCUUGAGCUAAACACGAUAACAAGGAGCCGGAGGCGCUGGCAGGCCAGGAUCAUUCCACAUUUAGUGCCAGACCUACAGAGUUCAAACCUGUUUUUUCUGACUUCAAUUACAUUCGACCCCAUUUGGACCAGGAGCAGCACCGGAUGGCUGAAGUUGCCCCAGGAGAAAACACAGUAUAUGCCAUCAUGCCUGACAAAGAAGUCUGUGGAAAAGAUCUAUUUUUCCACACCGUGAUUCAUGACAGUUUCUGCCAGGCUUGAUCUGUGUUUCCAUUUUGCUACUAUGCCCUACCAUCCCGAGAACUUGGCCAUCUGAUGCACUAACAAGCUGCUAAAACGUUGAGCUGAGUGUCUGUUUCCUUUUUAGGUUUAAGAAACUUAAACCUGAAUCAUCAUCAGCUUGCCUAUCUUUCAACAAAAAUAUUUAUAUUGGCCAUAGUACACUGUGGACUAUGCCCAAAUUACAUAAUGUACAAUGUACAUGUAGAUGUAGAUGUCUGUUUUGAAAAAUAGACAUCUAUUUCUAAAAAAAAAAAAAUACAGGCUGGUGUUUAGUUUUUCAUUAUCAGACAUUCUUUAGUGAAAUUGCAGCUCUAUACUUAAUCUUGAAGGCUGCUUAAGACAACGAGGAGCAGUUUGUUUUUCAUACUUUCAUAAAAGUAAAAAGUAGAUCAGCAUUCUCUGGAGAUAAAAUAGCUUCCUACUGUAAUGCAGCGAGAACAAAAAACAAGAGAAUGCCAACAGCAUUCUCCUGCCCUAUUUGAUAAGUGGAAGAACAGAAUAAAAAAAAGAAAGAAUAUAAGACUGACAAUAGGUCAAUGAAGCUUUCACUGAUGUUGUUCAAUGUUGAUUGAAGUGUUCUGACAAAUACAAGUGAAGGUGCUGCAUUUCUAGAUCCAUCCUUGCAGAUAAAUCAUAAAACAUGUUGAAAACAACGACAUUAGUUUCUUUCCCUCCAGGUGUGCCAGAAGCUGUGUCGGCUUUAAAGUCCUCCUCCCCAUGGAACUGGUUUCAGAUGGUGUCUUAGAGUCUAAAAUCCCAUCUAGCACCAUUUGAAAUCGGUGUCCUUGAGCGGGAACAGACUUCACAUUAGCAAUCAGUGUAGGAUUGCUGUUUGGUUUGUGAUGGUGAUUUUCAAAACAAUUUAAAAUAGGGCCAGGAAUGGGUUGCAUAUUGACAGACUGCAUGGCUCUACAAAUCUUAAGCAUCAGCUAUUGAAUAGACAAGAUAAUAGGAAUCCAUUCUUCCAACCCUCUAACCAAGGCUGACCGUUUUCCUCUGGUGUUCAGAGUUUCCAUCAUGUCUAGCACCAUUUGAAAUCGGUUACAAUGUGGAGGGAAAAUCAACAUUUUGCUUCAGCUACAUUGUGAAUAUCCACCAAAGGCCACAAGAUGGCAGCAUUGCAUUUCAGUCAACCAAGCUGCAGCGCUGGAAGAAUCCCAAAAGCAGAAUUGAGGACCAUGUGCAGGUGCAAAUCUGAAUUGUUUUGAUGGAAUAAAAACGUAUUGUUGUUGUUGAAAA